This is a long non-coding RNA of Panicum virgatum (switchgrass), 1919 nucleotides long. RefSeq lists it as uncharacterized. Lineage: Eukaryota; Viridiplantae; Streptophyta; Magnoliopsida; Poales; Poaceae. The record is from RefSeq and is a predicted model, not a curated record. The transcript has 2 exons.
AGCCCAAUACCCACCCCUCCCGGCGCCCAACCCCUCCGCGCCGUCGCUCUCCCGGCGCCGCUCCCCUCCACCGCCCAGCUCCCGUCCUGGCGCCGGACCCUCCCCGCGCUGUUGCUCUCCUCCCGGCGGCGCUCGCCUCCUCCGACGGUGCUCCCCCCCACCACGGCCACUUUUUUUUUGGCCAGUCCCCAGUCCCUACCAGCGCCGCACCAACCUCCCGAUCCGGCAGCGGCGGAUGAGGGGGCGCACUGCGCCCAGCGACUGCGGCCCGCACGUCGCCCAUCGUCUUCUCCACCGCCGCAAAUUGAUGCCGAAAUCCACCCGCCGCAGAUCCGGCCGGGGCCGCUGCCACCCACGCCGCGCCUCCUUCCGGCUGCCGGAGCUUCACGCGUUGCCGAGUCACGCAGCAGCAGGUCAGGGCGCGACCUUACUGGCGAUAGGCAGCCCCACGAAAGCCGACGGCGGCCACACCCUCACGUCGAGACGGCGGCGCCAGCGCGUCGAGACGGCCCGGCAACCUUCCACGACAGCAGACGGCGGCCGCGGCCUGCGCGCAUCCCACGCCGCGCGACCUUCCUGGCGAUAGCCGGCCCGAGACGGUGGUGCCAAGCCCACGAUCCUGCGAAGCGAACCCCGGCCAGGCGCCCAGGCCAGGUCAUGGACUCAUGGCUCUCUCUCUCUCUCUGUAGAGCGGAGCGGAGAUCGGCUCAGCACGUUGGAGUGGAGAAACGCAGCAGCACCUCAUCAUCCUGCUCAUCGUCGUCGAGCGUUGCUGCGUAUUGAUUACAAAUAGCUUUUUUUAGUCAUGUGGUGUGUUGCUUUGGGUGCCUACCUGCUGCUUGUUUGAUGAAAUGUCCAGGCAAGCUAUGUUACGCCGAAAUAGAAGUUGCUAUUGCUUUUAAUUGAUGGACUUUGAUUGUUCUUGUUCCACUGUUAGGGUUCUGCAUAGGAUGCAAAAAUUGUGCCAAUUGGUUUUAGUUCCUUUCGCAUCGUUGACAGCUAGUAUUGUUUCUCCUUCGAGCAUAAAGCAUGGAUAUUUUUGUGUAGGGAAUAUGAGGUGUAAUCCCCUAUUAGUUGUGUGGCAUACAUGAGAUUUUCAUUAAGCCUUAGACCAAUUUUGACACAUGGUGUCUGUGCAUGGUGGCAGCGGCGUACAGCAGCGAGCGGCGGUGCCAAGGUGAGGUGGCCGCACUGAGGGGUUCUAAUGGUACCCAGGUAGGGGCUUUUGCAAUUUCCCUAAGACUGGCAGGAUGGUUCUCAUAAACUAAUUUGAACCAGCCCACAAGUAGAUUAUCUGGCUGGAUUUGGAGGCUGUGGCCCUUUCCGCGCCCCGGCGACGCUUCUACCUGGCAUCCCGUCACUACUUUUUUCUCUACUUUUUUUUUGGCAAGAAGUUGGAUAGACUAAAAAACAUUUACUCUACUUUUUUUCUUUGGCAAGAACAUGAACUGAAAUUUUGCUAGGAUAUGUGUGAAUGGCUGAACGCUAUCAGAAUAAGGAAUAUUGAAGUACUCUUUCUGACAUAGUAUCAACUCUUGGAUUAGUAUGAUGUUGGGCAUUUAUAUGCACGCCAAGAACAUCUGACAUAUCAUCACACCCCACAGGAACAGUUUAGCAAAUAAAAAUUGUUCACCACAUAGGUAAUUCAGUACCUAAUGCUAGAGUAGAUAUAUUGUGCAGCAGGUCAGCUGGAAUGAUUGCUUGCUGGAGUUGCUUGAUAGCAGGAGAUCGCACGUUCUGGUGCCUGGAGGAGUUGAUUUUUUGCUGUAAUGUUUUUUUUAGUUUAAUCUGCAGCUAGUACCAUUGAAUACUAGAUCAUAUGGCUUAUUUUGUACUUCUAUUAAGGACACUACAUUUUUUAACAUUAGGUGGCUUAUCACCCCACUCAAUCUUUGCAUACGAAGUAUCUUUGAGCUGAA